UGGGGAAUAUUGCACAAUGGGGGAAACCCUGAUGCAGCGACGCCGCGUGAACGAAGAAGGUAUUCGUAUCGUAAAGUUCUGUCCUAUGGGAAGAUAAUGACAGUACCAUAGAAGAAAGCUCCGGCUAAAUACGUGCCAGCAGCCGCGGUAAUACGUAUGGAGCGAGCGUUGUCCGGAAUUAUUGGGCGUAAAGGGUACGCAGGCGGUUUAAUAAGUCGAAUGUUAAAGAUCGGGGCUCAACCCCGCAAAGCAUUGGAAACUGAUAAACUUGAGUAGUGGAGAGGAAAGUGGAAUUCCUAGUGUAGUGGUGAAAUACGUAGAUAUUAGGAGGAAAACCAGUAGCGAAGGCGACUUUCUGGACACAAACUGACGCUGAGGUACGAAAGCGUAGGGAGCAAACAGG
Molecule: ribosomal RNA, 403 nt
Filed under: bacterium
Lineage: Bacteria
Description: partial 16S ribosomal RNA
Rfam family: Bacterial small subunit ribosomal RNA
Source: RNAcentral